GAUGAAGAACGUAGCGAAAUGCGAUAAGUGAUGUGAAUUGCAGAAUUCAGUGAAUCAUCGAAUCUUUGAACGCACAUUGCGCCCGGUAGUAUUCUGCCGGGCAUGCCUGUUCGAGCGUCAUUUCAACCAUCAAGCCCCAGCGCUUGUGUUGGGGGCCUGCGGCUGCCGCAGCCCCCUAAAAGCAGUGGCGGGCUCGCUAUCACACCGAGUGCAGUAGUUCAUCUUCUCUCCGGUCUUGUGAGGCGGGUUCCGGCCGUGAAACACCCCACUACAUUCAAGGUUGACCUCGGAUCAGGUAGGAAUACCCGCUGAACUUAAGCAUAUCAAUAAGCGGAGGA
RNAcentral lists this unclassified non-coding RNA (338 nucleotides) under soil metagenome. RNAcentral describes it as "partial contains 5.8S ribosomal RNA, internal transcribed spacer 2, and large subunit ribosomal RNA". The stretch from base 1 to 120 matches the Rfam family "5.8S ribosomal RNA", at positions 35 to 154 of the family's 154-position model. The record is from RNAcentral.